Molecule: non-coding RNA, 432 nt
Organism: Oryctolagus cuniculus (rabbit)
Lineage: Eukaryota; Metazoa; Chordata; Mammalia; Lagomorpha; Leporidae
Source: RefSeq, a predicted model, not a curated record
GGAUCUGGGUGACUGUUACCCUAGACCUCAGCCUGGGUCUGGAUCUGGGUGGCUGUUACCCUAGACCUCAGCCUGGGUCUGGAUCUGGGUGACUGUUACCCUAGACCUCAUCCUGGGUCUGGAUGUGGGUGACUGUUACCCUAGACCUCAGCCUGGAUGAGUGACUGUUACCCUAGACCUCAGUCUGGGUCUGGGUGACUGUUACCAAGGUUGGAGGUACAGGCUCCCAGGUGAGGUGUGCAGGUGCAGGCUCCCAGGUGAGGUGUGGAGGUGCAGGCUCCCAGGUGAGGUGUGGAGGUUCAGGUGCAGGCUCCCAGGUGAGGGUUGGAGGUGCAGGCUCCCAGGUGAGGUGUGGAGGUGCAGUCUCCCAGGUGAGGUGUGGAGGUUCAGGCUCCCAGGUGAGGUGUGGAGGUGCAGGUGCAGGCUCCCAGG